UCCCUCGGGCCGGAUUUGAACCAGCGACCAAAGGAUCACCGUUGUAACAUCUACAGUCCUCCGCUCUACCAACUGAGCUAUCGAGGG
This 87-nucleotide transfer RNA is filed under the name Cordylochernes scorpioides. RNAcentral describes it as "tRNA-Tyr". Lineage: Eukaryota; Metazoa; Arthropoda; Arachnida; Pseudoscorpiones; Chernetidae. The record is from RNAcentral.